AUUCUGAGCUGACCGGGUAGCCAUGGCCUUGCGGCUCCUGAAGCUGGCAGCGACGUCCGCGUCCGCCCGGGUCGUGGCGGCGGGCGCCCAGCGCGUGAGAGGAGUUCAUAGCAGUGUGCAGUGCAAGCUGCGCUAUGGAAUGUGGCAUUUCCUGCUUGGGGAUAAAGCAAGCAAAAGACUGACAGAACGCAGCAGAGUGAUAACUGUAGAUGGCAAUAUAUGUACUGGAAAAGGCAAACUUGCAAAAGAAAUAGCAGAGAAACUAGGCUUCAAGCACUUUCCUGAAGCGGGGAUUCAUUAUCCAGACAGUACCACAGGAGAUGGGAAGCCCCUCGCCGCCGACUAUAAUGGCAACUGUAGUUUGGAGAAAUUUUACGAUGAUCCGAGAAGCAAUGAUGGCAACAGUUACCGCCUGCAGUCCUGGUUGUACAGCAGUCGCCUGCUGCAGUACUCGGAUGCCUUGGAGCACUUGCUGACCACAGGACAAGGUGUUGUGUUGGAGCGCUCCAUCUUCAGUGACUUUGUGUUCCUGGAGGCGAUGUACAACCAGGGAUUCAUCCGAAAGCAGUGUGUGGAUCACUACAACGAGGUGAAGAGCGUCACCAUCUGCGAUUACCUGCCCCCCCACCUGGUGAUUUACAUCGAUGUGCCCGUUCCAGAGGUCCAGAGGCGGAUUCAGAAGAAAGGAGAUGUAAUGCAGUUUUCAAUCAAAGGCCAAGCAUCUCUAUUUUGAAUGUAGAUCAGCACUAAAAGCCCUGUUUUAAUAGCAUUUAUACUAAUUCCUACCAGUCCUCACGAGGAGAGUGACACACACCCUGUUCCCACUUGAGAGAGGGCAUCUGCAGGGGUGGAGGGGAGACCCCAUGGCUCGGCCUGGUGCCACAGCCUGCGGGCCUGCCGCCCUCCAGUGCUCUGCAGUCCCACUGUGGUCCCCGAGUCCCCUCAGCUGUUUAAACUUGGGAGGCUGGGGAGGGCCUCCUGGCAGAGCGUCCUCCAUCCCUCUGUCACGUACCUUUCUGUUCUCUGAUGAGGUUUUUGUGUCCUAUUGUUUUCUUCCACAUUGGAAGCAAUUUCUAAUAUCCCUUGUCACUUCAAUCUAUUUAACGCAAAUCGUGCCUCUCCCCCUUUUUCUUACUUACCAAUUCUAGAACAGUAGAGCAGUGAUACCCACACACAUCCAUUUACUCUUUGUAGUUUUCAUUGGAUCUUAAUUAGGUGGCCUCGAAGCAACGCCUUUUGAAGUGACCCUGUGGCCGUCGGUAGCUCUGUUGGUGGCUUGAUGGAGGAUCCUGAGAUGAAACAAAGACCGUCUUUGCCCUAUGGCGAGUUCUUUGUUUUUUUUUUUUGAGACAGAAUCUCGCUCUGUCACCCAGGCUGGAGUGCAGUGGCACGAUCUCGGCUCACUGCAAGCUCCGCCUCCCGGGUUCACGCCAUUCUCCUGCCUCAGCCUCCCAAGUAGCUGGGACUACAGGCGCACGCCACCAUGCCCGGCUAAUUUUUUUUGUAUUUUUAGUAGAGACGGGGUUUCACUGCUUGUUUAAUACUAUGUUAUUUUUUCCUGGAGGAGAAUAUGGUCUCCUUUUUGAUACUGUGAUGAAAAUGCAGGGCUACCUGCCUGUUCCUCACUCUGAUGCCCAUCCUCAGUGCUGGAAUUCUUGUAGGUGCUCAGGAAAUACCUCUCUGGAUGGUGGGUUCUUGUCAGGGCAACAGUAAAGCUCUGGUUAUUUUUUGCUGCUCCUGAAAGAUCCAUGGGACUAACUUUCCUUCUCUGUUGCAAUAGUAGAAACAGCAAGAUGUCUAUGUAUGCCUUUCUAUUGCCACUCUGGAACUUGUAUUGUUUAAGCAUAUGCUUGUAAGUAUAUUGUAUAGCUAGACUUCUAAGAACCUUCCAUCAAGUGGCAAAAGGAGGGAACUACAAGUUCAAAAUGUUUGUUUCUCAGUGGACUAACUGGACACCUUUGCUUAUUAUGCUGACAUUUAUUGAGAAAAACAAAGUCAUACAUUUAACAUUCUCUAGAUAAUUCUUUUGUUAUCUGGGAAAACAGUAUUUCAAAAAUAAUUCUGAGGUCUAAAGUAGAGCUGUCAACUUUUUAAUUUUUCCAAGUAAAGUCUUCAAUACUGUCAUCAGCUAAAAUUACCCCAUUUUAUAAAAGACAUCACAUUAUCAGUAAGUCUGUGUUCUUAUUUUGAUUUUUAUUUCAAUGCAGUCUGUGUCUCAGUAUUGCACCUUUUGGGAAUAACUGAUAGGAAUAUCCGAAAACCAUUUCUAGAUUCUAAGAAAACAGUCAAAGUGAUCAAUAACUACAUAUUUUAUCAAGUAACUUCAGGUCAGAGUUCUGAGAUGGUUGUGUUAUGUUGCGUGUUACGGGCUUAUAUUACACUAGAGUUUCUUUUAUAAUCAGUUAACAUUUAAUCUUAUUCUACUUGGCACAUAGCUAAUGAUAGAGAUUUAGAAUCAUAUCACCUCUUUUAUACUUUUGUUGAUUUCACUCACUCCUCUAAUACAGAGCACCUCCUAUAUGCAAGGCGCCUGUGCCAGGCACCUAGGAGGCUGCAAAGAUGAACAAAGAUGGUCUCUGCCCAGACACCAAGUCCUUAUUGGAAAAUAGAACUCCCAAUUACUGCCUUUCCCCCUUUUGACAGAGCAAUGAAGUGCAGCAUUGCCUGUAUCAUCCUUUCCCUGUGCCCCGUCGCAUUACUAGAAUUAAUACAUGUUCAGUAAAUAUUUAUUCUUUGAAUGAUAGGGUUUUUCUUAUUUUGAACAGCUUUAAUGAGGUAUAAUUUAUGCUCCAUAAAAUUCACCCAUUUUAAGGGUACGACUGAAUGAUUUUGGGUAAAUUUACCAAGUUGUUUCCACUCUUGCCAUAAUCCAGUUUUAGAAUGUUUUCAUCAUUUUGUAGGUUGAAACCGCAGGCCUAUUCGUUUCUUUCUUCCUUCCUCUCUCUCCUGUAAGUGUUGAUUGAGCAUCCACCCUGUCCUAGACCCUGCUUGGUGCUAGGGAUAUACCAGUGAGCAGGGUGGAUGAGGUCCUCACCCGUGAGCUCAUAUGCUGAUGGGGGAGACCUACAGCAAGCAAGGAGAUAAAUAAUAAAUACAUCAAAUAGAGGUAAAUGAUGUGAAGAAAACAAAACGGGCUGAGAAGAUAGUGUGAAACUGUAAGGAGUUUUAAAUUUUAAAACUUGCUACUCAUAAUUAGAUUUUCAAGUUUCUGAAAUUGGCAUAGUGCAUUUCAGAUGAUGAGAGAGGUGACAGCCGUAGAAAGUGGGAGAAGUGGUUGCAGGGAGAUGGGUGAGCGAUGGAGGUGGCGAGCAAGUUGGAGAGAUGCAGGGAGAGCCAGGUGACAAGAAGAGAGUGUGCUGAGGACAGAUGGCAGACAGACAGGCCACUGCCCCCAAUUUUUGGUGCUCUUUCAUUCCUGCACUCAGGCACGAGGCAGACAGGAAAGACAGGCAGUGCUGCUUCGUAACAGGCAUCUUUCUUGCCCUAAGUAUACAUCUUAGAAUGUGUGGAGAAAGUCACGCUAUGGGAGCACUUGGGCAGGCUCAGGUGUUCACUGUAGUAGAAGGAGAAUGACUCUAGCUGAUGUUGGGACCCUUUACUGUCACCCCGCAGUCCCCACACUGCCCCGUGUGAGUUGUAAGAAAAUGGUGCUCAGUGAUUGUCUUCGCAUUUUAUAUACGCACAGGUCAAAGAGAAUGAACUCUAAAUGUUUCCCAGUUUGAUUUUUCUGCUUUUGUUUAGCCACAUGAAAUGAAGAUCACCUCUGCCUAUCUGCAGGACAUUGAGAAUGCCUAUAAGAAAACCUUUCUCCCUGAGAUGAGUGAAAAAUGUGAGGUUUUACAGUAUUCUGCAAGGGAAGCUCAAGAUUCAAAAAAGGCGGUAGAGGACAUUGAAUACCUGAAGUUCGAUAAAGGGCCGUGGCUCAAGCAGGACAAUCGCACUUUAUACCACCUGCGAUUACUGGUUCAGGAUAAGUUUGAGGUGCUGAAUUACACAAGCAUUCCUAUCUUUCUCCCGGAAGUCACCAUUGGAGCUCAUCAGACUGACCGUGUCUUACAUCAGUUCAGAGAGCUGCCGGGCCGCAAGUACAGCCCUGGGUACAACACCGAGGUGGGAGACAAGUGGAUCUGGCUGAAGUGAACGGGCCGCCUUCUGCUCCAGCUGCAUCACAGUGAUGGCCAAGCUGCAUCAGCCGCACUCUCCUGGACGCCAUAUAGCUUUAAGAUCGGGGGAGGGUAAAUAAUGCAAAAAUUGCACAGUGGAAGAAGGGGUCUCACAAAAAGCAAUCCAUCCUGUAGUAUAGGUAAUGGAGUUGGGGGAAGCAGCUUCCAUUCUGGAUGUUUGGAACCCUUUAGCUUUGUUUUGGAAUGGCCCACCAUUCUCACUGGAAAACAGUGGUCUGCUGUGAAAGGCCAGCUCUCGGCGGCCCCUGUGGUUUCAGCGCUGCCGCUCUGUGUCAUUCAGGUUGUGUACAUUGUUUUUCUUCCGACUUCCAGAAAUAAAAGUGUUUCCAUGGG
RNAcentral lists this small RNA (4517 nucleotides) under Pan troglodytes (chimpanzee). RNAcentral's name for it is "retained intron". Lineage: Eukaryota; Metazoa; Chordata; Mammalia; Primates; Hominidae. The record is from RNAcentral.